CCUACGGGUGGCAGCAGUGGGGAAUAUUGCACAAUGGGGGAAACCCUGAUGCAGCAACGCCGCGUGAGUGAAGAAGUAUUUCGGUAUGUAAAGCUCUAUCAGCAGGGAAGAAGAUGACGGUACCUGAAGAAAAAGCAUCGGCUAACUCCGUGCUAGCAGCCGCGGUAAUACGGAGGAUGCGAGCGUUAUCCGGAUUGAUUGGGUUUAAAGGGUGCGUAGGCGGGUUAUCAAGUCAGCGGUAAAAUCGUGGAGCUCAACUCCAUCCAGCCGUUGAAACUGAUGAUCUUGAGUGGGCGAGAAGUAUGCGGAAUGCGUGGUGUAGCGGUGAAAUGCAUAGAUAUCACGCAGAACUCCGAUUGCGAAGGCAGCAUACCGGCGCCCGACUGACGCUGAAGCACGAAAGCGUGGGUAUCGAACAGGAUUAGAUACCCGGGUAGUC
This 439-nucleotide ribosomal RNA is filed under the name uncultured bacterium. RNAcentral's name for it is "partial 16S ribosomal RNA". It matches the Rfam family "Bacterial small subunit ribosomal RNA", at positions 338 to 795 of the family's 1533-position model. The record is from RNAcentral.